Molecule: ribosomal RNA, 495 nt
Filed under: uncultured bacterium
Lineage: Bacteria
Description: partial 16S ribosomal RNA
Rfam family: Bacterial small subunit ribosomal RNA
Source: RNAcentral
AUUGAACGCUGGCGGCAUGCCUUACACAUGCAAGUCGAACGGUAACAGGUCAAGCUGACGAGUGGCGAACGGGUGAGUAAUCCAUCGGAACGUGCCCAGUCGUGGGGGAUAACGUAGCGAAAGCUGCGCUAAUACCGCAUACGAUCUCUGGAUGAAAGCGGGGGACUCGCAAGAGCCUCGCGCGAUUGGAGCGGCCGAUAUCAGAUUAGGUAGUUGGUGGGGUAAAAGCCCACCAAGCCGACGAUCUGUAGCUGGUCUGAGAGGACGACCAGCCACACUGGGACUGAGACACGGCCCAGACUCCUACGGGAGGCAGCAGUGGGGAAUUUUGGACAAUGGGCGAAAGCCUGAUCCAGCCAUGCCGCGUGCAGGACGAAGGCCUUCGGGUUGUAAACUGCUUUUGUACGGAACGAAACGGCUCUCUCUAAUACGGGGGGCUAAUGACGGUACCGUAAGAAUAAGCACCGGCUAACUACGUGCCAGCCGCCGCCGUAA